GAUUAAGAAAACAGGAAGGUAGGGAGGAGACGGGACUUGUGAAUUUGUGGAAAGACUUGAGAUUUUAUUUUUUAUAUCUGAUUUUAUAUUAUAGAUAUGUAUAUAUCUGAUUUUAUAUUUGUCUUGGAGAUAAUAGGCAACCAUUGGAAUUUGAUGAUGAGAUGGAUGGCACAGGUUGACAUGACCAGUGUUCUAGGAACAUCACUUUGGUGGGUGAUGAAUGUAGAGACUUAUAGUCAGGCUCACCCACCAGAGGGCUAAUGCGGUUAUAAUAUAGCUAUGGGAUGGAUGAGGGCCUGUGAAAGGGUGGCAGGUGAGUAGAGAGAAGGAGCCAUAUAAGAGAGGCUUUUUUUGUUUUAAAAUAAUAAUAGCUUUUUAUUUUUUAAAAUACAUGCAAAGAUGGUUUUCAACAUUCACUAUAAUAACUUUGUAUUGACAGAAUCCAUGCCAGGAUAAUUUUUACACAACAUUAUCCCUUGCAAUCACUUAUGUUUCGUUUUUUCCCCUCCCUCCCUCCUCCCCACCCCCAAGAUGGCAAGCAGUCCUAUAUAUCAACAUUCACUCUUGUAAAACCUUGUGUUCCGAAUUUUUCACCCUCCCUCCCCUUCUCCCCUAGACAGCAUGUAACCCAAAAUAGGUUAAACAUGUGCCAUUCUUCUAAACAUGUUUCCACUUUUAUCACGCUGCAUAAGAAAAAUCAGAUCAAAAGAGGGAAAAAAUAAGAAAAAGUAAACAAGAAAACAACCCCCCGCAGAAAAGGUGAAAAUCCUGCGUUGGGAUCCACAUUCAGGCCCUGGAUGCGGACGGUUCUCUGCAUCCCAAGUCUAUUGGCAUUGGUCUGAAUUGUUGCAAAGAGCCCCGUUGGUCAGAGCUGGCCAUCACCUAACCUUGUUGCUGUGUACAAUGUUCCCUUGGUUCUGCUCACCUCACUCAGCAUCAGCCACGAGAAAAGUUUUGAGGGAACAGAAAUACAGACAAAGCUCUUCCGUCGGUCCCACCGGACCAGAUCUACCUGCUUAGUUCUGGUCCUGGCGGAAAGCGCAGGGAAUGAAGGAAAACCAGACUUUUGUCUUUAAAGCUUGGGGAAGUGAGUUGUGGCAGGAAGGGUGGUAGGAGGUGAGGAGGAGGAUGAAAGGGGAAGGAGAGCAGGAACCUGGGAAGGGAAAGGGUUAAGAGAGUGGAGUGGGGGUGGGGAGAGCCAGCCUAUGGCAGGAGGACACACCUGUGUGGCGGCCCUUUGCAGGCGUGGCCCAGGUGAGCUAGGCAGCCGGAGGGAGGUGGCUAGGCAGAGGCCCUGAUGCUAGGCCUGUGGACACAAGGCUGCAGGUUCUCUGUCGUCCCCUCCUGACCCCGGAAGUCAGUGCACUGUGGGGUCCAGAGGCAGUAUUUUUUCUCAAGAAAUACAGGUACCAGUCCUUGAAGUGGAAACAAUGUUCCGGUUGUAGGAGAGAACAUUCCCGCCAAUUCAAAAAUCUUCAAUUGGCAGAGAUGAGGUCAGGUUAGCUAGAUGAAUGGAAACUGGUAGUUAAAUGUUCUAAGGCUGUUGCCAAGAUGAGCUGUUACAUUUCCUGGAGGCGUGGACUGGAUACUGGACCAGGCCAAGGAACAUCAAUACUAAAAUAAUUGAGGACAGACCUAGGCUUGAAUGACACUUGAGGAAGGAUGGAGGAAUGAUAUACAUCCCUUCUGAAGAUGAAGUCUCGUCUUCCUGGGGAAGGAACUCCAAACCAAAGUCAUUCUCUCAAACAGAGCAAAACACUCCUAAGAGAACAUGGACAAAUAAAUCAUUGGCCUUCAAGGUUCCUUCACUCACUUCUAAGGAGAGGGAACACAUCGACCACAAGGUGUGCUACAACCUCAGGCUCAGGCAGGUGACCUGGUCUUUGAUAUUGAUGCCCCACUUUUAUUUUAUUAUCUGCAACUUUAUCUACCCCUCUCAAAAAAGCAAGUCUGCACUGAGCUUCUGCACUGUUGCUAGGCACUGAGCCCAUUUCUUUAGCCACAAAAUGAAAAUACUUCUAUGUAUUCUGUGGGACUGUGUUGAAAAUAUUUAUGAAUUUUUCUUUACCAAGGAGGUUAGAGACUGUUGUACCUUAGGUGGGCUGUGCAGAGAAUUGUGAUAAUUCUAAUGAAGCCAACAAAUUUUAUUUCCAGAUUUCAGAUUUGGAAGUGGGCUCAGAAAAAAAUUACAAUUUGUGACCAAAAUCUCCUUUUGUUUCCAACAAUUCUGUCUGAUGACUAGGGUGCCAGGCCUCCCCAGUGAACGAUAUAGGUUUUAGGUAUCUGGCCAAUAACACGGGACACUGCUGUUCUUCAUGCACAAGAAAGAAGUCGAGCAGCUGAGGGUGGUUCCAGCUCCAAAACCAGGAUCUGGGUUAAGGAGCAUCGGGGCCCGGGCCCCUGCUGACUGGCUCGCUCUUUUAGGCCUGGGCUCACUUGUGCCGCCCUUACUGAGAUCCCUGCCUCGGCCCCCAGCCCAGGCCGGACUCUGUGCACCCCCUGCUGGUGAAGCGAAGCAGCGCACCUGGGUCAGCCCCGCUCCCAGUCCUCGUUGGGGAGGAAACAAGAAGAUCGCGAGCUGCAGAGGUUCCACUUAAGUAAUAAAAAUUUAUUGAGAA
This is a long non-coding RNA of Antechinus flavipes (yellow-footed antechinus), 2618 nucleotides long. RefSeq lists it as uncharacterized. The record is from RefSeq and is a predicted model, not a curated record. Lineage: Eukaryota; Metazoa; Chordata; Mammalia; Dasyuromorphia; Dasyuridae. The transcript is spliced from 2 exons.